This is a long non-coding RNA of Aplysia californica (California sea hare), 1009 nucleotides long. RefSeq lists it as uncharacterized. NCBI's taxonomy places the organism in Eukaryota, Metazoa, Mollusca, Gastropoda, Aplysiida, Aplysiidae. The record is from RefSeq and is a predicted model, not a curated record. The transcript has 2 exons.
CCUGUUGACAAUACUAUCACUAUUUAUAGCUAUAGAACGUUCCCCCAGCCCCCAGCCUGUUGUACUGACGUGGCCUUAGCUGUUGACGCAACCUUUCCAUCUUGUUACAUCUGGUCUUUCAAAAGAAUUGAAACACUGACAAAAUGCGUCAACUCAAAGGAAAAGUAAAAGAAACAAGAAAAGAGAAAAGGGAGCGAAAGACUGAAAAUCUUGAAAAUAAAAGUAACCUUUGGAAAGUCACCAUACCAGUGCUCACUGGUCUAUUUCUACUUAUAGGUUUGUUUGUUUAUGUGAACACCAGGCCAAAGCAGAAUGCCAUAUAUGAUGAAUGAAUCUGACAGAAACGUUGCAUUUGUUAUUUUUAUUAUAUUAUAAUGUAUAAAGGGUGGUGCAAUGGGUAAUGCAGAAAAUACCAUGUCUAUCUGAUGUUUCCCUCUUAAGCAUAGAUUCCCACAUUUUUUAUUUUUACUCAUUUCAUUCCCAAGCGUGUUAGAGCGUGUAAUGGUCUGAUUUUUCCUUAUAUGACUCUCAAUUGUAGAUUCCCAUAUUUUUUUAUUUUACAUUUUUUUUUUUACUCAUUUCCUUCCCGAGCGUAUCAUAGUGUGUAACAUGCAAACUGGUUUGUUUGUUUUCUGUAGGUUUUUUUCUGAAAAUAUGUCUCAUAAUGUCUUUUUGGUUAAAAAUCCUGUAGCAGAGACCGACAUACAUGUUGCUUCUCUACUACAUUUACUUGUAAAUUUUGAAUAGAUAGGCUAUAUAAAUGUAUUAUUUAAAUGUAAAUGGAGGAGACAGGGACCAUUCUGUGAUUCUGACUAGUCAGGACUACAUGUUCAGGUUCAAUUUUAAAAAAAACAGCCUGACCAAUGCUCAAAGUAGUCAAAGAUCAAUGUUCAACAAAAGUAAAAGUGAAUUUAAACCGCUGAGGCAGCGGCCGAAAAAAAAAGCCAAUGAAGCAGACAUCUAGAAAUGAAUUUCUGUCAAUUACUUUAAUAAUUUGAUUGCUACCUAA